Long non-coding RNA from Nothoprocta perdicaria, 666 nucleotides. RefSeq lists it as uncharacterized. Lineage: Eukaryota; Metazoa; Chordata; Aves; Tinamiformes; Tinamidae. The transcript is spliced from 5 exons. The record is from RefSeq and is a predicted model, not a curated record.
UGUGCCUUCCUGGUCCUGCCUUGACUUUGGGUUGUGUUGCUGCUCAUUGUUGGACUGUAGGUGACCCUGGCUCUCCUGGAUCUUCGCGUUCAGGAUGAGGUUAUGGCUACAAGCUCCAUCUCAAGCAUCCAGCAAGAAGACAACAGGAGAGCAGAGCUGGGAAAUAGUUCCAGUAUCACCAGACUCAAGAGAAAAAAGUUCCUUAGUCAUAUUGCAAAGAAAUCAACUAUGUACCUGCAAGUCAGAAGAUGGAGUAAGCACAAAAGUAGGAAUGUGGAAUUCCUGUGACCUGGGCUCAUGGUUCACGAGAAGACAAGAGAGAAAAAUAAGAUGCAAUGGAAGAGAAUACUUCGAGAAAGCUUAUCUCAUGUGAUCUUGGAAGAUUUUCUCUCAGUCCACCGCUUCAACAACCAUGAGCACCUCCACGCUAUAAAUAACCUUUGCUUCUGUUUUAUCAUCAAAACUCCACGUUACUGCUGCUGAGUUAGAAUUUGAGCAACUGAGCAAAGCGACUUGUUGCAAUUGCAUCAUCUGCUUUGCUAAUACGUAACAUGAUUUCUGCAGAAAGCUGAUAAUUUAACAGACUGUUUGACAAGUGUCUUAUGAAAUUAAGUAGACAAACUGCUAACAAGAGAUUACAAAUAAAAAGUAAUUGUCAAUAAGGUA